RNAcentral lists this long non-coding RNA (2719 nucleotides) under Malus domestica (apple). RNAcentral's name for it is "long non-coding RNA (MDOM_LNC007596)". The record is from RNAcentral. Lineage: Eukaryota; Viridiplantae; Streptophyta; Magnoliopsida; Rosales; Rosaceae.
CAACCUUUACUACUUGUGAAUAUAAGUUCAUAACGAUUAGGUGAAAUUCACUUAUAUUCUAGCAUCAAAUUCAUGCAUGUAAAUUAAGCGUGCACUCUCAACCAACAUACACAAAUCAGUUUUUAUACGAACGGAUAAGUAAAUUGAAUUCACAACUUAUGAAAUCACAACCGAAGGUAAUCAAUUCAUAUUACAAAUAUAUUCAUGGUUUCGAAUUAACCUCUAACCAACAUAAAUUUAAUUACACAUUAUUAAAAACAGAAAUAAAAUAGAAGUUUGGAAAGAUUUAACCGAGAGAAAUGGAGUGAAGCCUCUAAUUUUCUUCUCACUGUGCCCGUCAGUCUCCCUUCUCCCCGUGUCUAUCUCCUCUCCUGCCUCUGCGAGCUGACCUCCUGACCUCUCUCCCUCCCCACGUCUGCGAGCUUCACGCUUCCCUUCUCUCCGUAGCUUCACGCUGCCCAAAGGGCAGCCCUCUGCCUUCCACCACUUCACGUUUUCUGCCUUUGUCCCUUUUUAUUCCUUUUUCUGCUAUCCUUCCCGCGUCAGUGCUCUCUGCUGCCCAGGGCAGCUCCUCCACCUUCCCGUGUUUUAUCCAGCUCUGCCUCUUAUUUUUAUUUUCUUAUUCUUCUUUCUCUCUGCACUGUUGUCCACUUCCUCUUCUUUUCUUCUUUUAAUCUUUUUGUCUCUCCAGCUGCCAAGCAGCUGUUUUCAUUCUCUUUCACCUGCUUUCAUUACCCGUGCUGACCAAUCCUCUCUACAGCUCCUUUUCUAACAUGCCUUGGAUUCUCCUUGUUCCGUAGCUGUCCCUUUAUUUCUGCUUAAUCCCACGUUUUCCACCUUGGAUCCUUCUUUCCUUUAGCUUAUUUGUUUCUCUUUUUCUUUCCUGUUUUCACUUCAUAUUUUUAUUCCAUCCCAUCUGCUGACCAGCUGCAAAGCAGCUUUCACGCCUAGCUUUGGACCUGCCACUUAUUCCCUUUGCAGUCUGUCCGUCCCACGUUUUUCUAUUUAAUUUCUCAGUGCUUUCCACUUUCUUCUCCUACAAACACAAUAAAUCAAAAUAAACCAAAAUAAAACCCAAUCCAAAAAUAAAACCAAUAUUCUUUCUGUUUAUUAUUUAAAACUCAUUUGUGCUAUUUUUAUUUUCUUUGCAUAACAAAUCCUAAAAACAUAAAAAUAACGUAAAUAGCUCAAAAAUAUAAGGAACUAACUAAGAAAAGACGAGUGAAUUUGAAGUAAAAAUAUAUAUAAAUAUGAUCCGAUCACUAGUCAGUAGGGACAGCAACCAGUUUUUGGUGACAUUUUAAGUAGUUAGAUAAAACAAUCUUCUGCGGGAAAGACCCUUAUUUUCAUAUGCUACAAUUGACAAAUCUUAGUGUUAAUAAGGAAAAUUAAUAGGACAUUUGUGUGCUACUUUGUAGUGUGCUUUUAAUCCUAUCACCUCCUCUUCGUCUACGUUGUCGUCGGAUUUGGACUCAGACUGCGACUCGUACAGCUCCAAUUGCUCGGCGGUCAAAGGCUUAACUUCGUUUUCAUCCACAACUUCCUCCAUAGCCUUCAUCCUUUCAAAACUCGCACAAAUUUACCGAGAAGAUCUCCUCUUUGUAUUCUUGAGAAAACAAAUUGGGAUUGGAUUUGGGAGAGUGAAUGAGAUAGAGGGAGGGAGGGACGAGAGAGAAGUUGCCAAUUGGGAUUGGAUUACAAAUAAAAAUAUUUUAUAAAUAAAUAAAAUACUAAUAUUUUAUUGUCAAUUGCCAAGGCUAUUCAAGUGCAAUGGUGGAGAUGCAAAAGACGAUUACUAUUCAUUAAGAGCAAUUACUGUUCACUAGGUGGAUUAAAUAGUGAAUAGCUUGGGGGGAGGGCUCCCAUGCUGGAAGUGCUCUAAGGUACUGAAAGAUUGUCCUUUUCACUCAUUUCAUAGAAAUAAUUUCUGGGGUACCAAGUAUUUCUUAAGAUUUCCAGAAUAUGAUGUGGGUUCUUAUUAAUUUAAAGAAAUGAAUCGUGCGUAGUCGGAAUUUGUCAGAAAUAUAUUGUGGGUACCAACUGUAUGUUAAAAUUUCUAGCUGAAAAUGUUUGCAUUUGUGCUUGGUGUCAUUGUAGGUGGAAAUAAUGCAGAAGAUUUGAGUGUUUGGGGAAGGGAGAGAGAGAGAAAUGGAGUGGGUGAAGUCGAAGAGGGAGGGGGAAGGGUCGGUGCAGAGGAGAGAAGGGAGGGGGGUCAGAACUCGGAAGGGGUGAGGGAGAAGGGUAGGUGCAGACGCCCAAAUAUUUUUUUUAUUUUUUUUCAGUUUUAUUAAUUUAUUUUUUUAAUAUCUACGUGGCGCUAAGUCAUUAUCCACGUGGAUGUCACGUCAUCAGUUAACUGCAAAAUUAACGGAUGUAUGAAAAUGUUCCAAAAUUAUAACUUUAUGUACCACUCUGGAAUGAAAAAAACUUCAUGUACUAAGUGUUGAAAAUAAAAAAAUUUUAAGGUAAUAAACUGAGAUCAUGGAAGAAAAUGUCGAUAAUAUCGGCGAUAUAUCGCCGAUAUUAUCGGUUUUUCACCGGACCGAUAUUUUAAUAGGUAUCCAAAGGAUUUUCGUCAAAAUAUCGCGAUAAUAUCGAUAAUAUCGCGAUAUUUCCGAAAUUAUCGCGAUAUUAUAUAAAAUAUCGUUAAUAUCUUAGGAAUCGACGGUGAGCGCGCCGCAGCUAACGCCGAAAAGCAACGAAACGACGACACUGAGGA